Molecule: transfer RNA, 77 nt
Organism: Ipomoea nil (Japanese morning glory)
Lineage: Eukaryota; Viridiplantae; Streptophyta; Magnoliopsida; Solanales; Convolvulaceae
Rfam family: tRNA
About the family: Transfer RNA (tRNA) molecules are approximately 80 nucleotides in length. Their secondary structure includes four short double-helical elements and three loops (D, anti-codon, and T loops).
Source: Rfam
GCUAGAGUAGCUCAGUUGGUUAGAGCGUGUGGCUGUUAACUACAACAAGGUUGAAGGUUUAAGUCCUUCCUCUAGCG